RNAcentral lists this unclassified non-coding RNA (346 nucleotides) under soil metagenome. RNAcentral describes it as "partial contains 5.8S ribosomal RNA, internal transcribed spacer 2, and large subunit ribosomal RNA". The stretch from base 1 to 121 matches the Rfam family "5.8S ribosomal RNA", at positions 35 to 154 of the family's 154-position model. The record is from RNAcentral.
GAUGAAGAACGUAGCGAAAUGCGAUAAGUAAUGCGAAUUGCAGAAUUUCCGUGAGUCAUCGAAUCUUUGAACGCACAUUGCGCCCACCGGUAUUCCGGUGGGCAUGCCUGUUCGAGCGUCAUUAUCCUCCCUCAAACCCCGGGUUUGGUGUUGGACCUCAAGUUGUGCGAACAACUGGUCUUAAAGACAAUGACGGCGUCCGGAGGACCCUCGGUGCAACGAGCUUUCAGGAGCACGCGUCGAGUUUCAAGGACCUUCCGGCCCGGUCUCUUUACUCCUUUCACAAGGUUGACCUCGGAUCAGGUAGGAAUACCCGCUGACCUUAAGCAUAUCAAUAAGCGGAGGA